This 14982-nucleotide long non-coding RNA is filed under the name Coffea arabica (coffee). RNAcentral describes it as "long non-coding RNA (CARA_LNC008274)". Lineage: Eukaryota; Viridiplantae; Streptophyta; Magnoliopsida; Gentianales; Rubiaceae. The record is from RNAcentral.
AAGGAUAAGCUCUUCAUCCUCACCAUCCGAGAGAGGGUUUACGGAUUGGAGCUCAUAUAAAAAGGAACAAGAAUCAGCAGCCGCAAGAGGAGGGGAGAUAGAGAGCACGGCUGGAAAAAUUCUGAGGCAAAACAGAAAUCAGAGAGAAUAGGCAUCAAGGAUGGCUGCAAAACUUAAGGAAAAACAGAGGAAGGAAAUGGAGGAGCUGGGUUUCGGGCAGACAAAGGAGAAGAAAUAAGAAAGGGGGAGGAAAAGAGUGGAACGGCAAAAAGAAAAGGAGAAGAAAGAGAGAGGCGACGGACAGCAAAGAAAAACAAGAGAGCUAACGGCUGAGUGAGUAAAAGGGAGAGCUUUGAGAGUUUUGGAAGGAGGUGACGGCUGAAAUCUGGAAAAAGAAAGGAAAGCCAGAGAAAGGAGUGGACGGCUGGUGAGGAAGAAGGCUAGAGUUUUGAGAGAGGUGGGCUGUGAGGAACAGAAAACUGGAGAGCUUUCGGGCAGAGUAAGGAACCGUGAGUGAAGGAAAGCCAGACAGAGAGAAACUAGAACAAGGAGAAGAGGAUCUGCGGCCCAUUGCCCUCAGAUUGUGGUGGAUUCCAGUCAGUUACUCCAAAGUCCUAUCAAAAUCCAGUUCUUGUAGCAGCAAAACAGGUAAUCCUCAACCUCUUCCCGUAUGAAAAAUCCAGUUCUUGCAUGAUUGUGUUUUGGCCGAGAGAAAAUGGUUAAAGUUUCCAACUUUGGUUGGUGGUUCGUCUUAGGUUGAGUUUUGGGUUGCAAGACUAGAUUUUUCUUGUAAGUUAGUGUCAUAGAUUCUCAUUUUAAGUAUUGCUGCUGUCCAUGUGAGGAACAAGAACCAAACCAGAAAAUGGAGUGCUUCUUCGGCAAGUUGAAUUUCUGACUUUUAAUUCGUUGAUUUCCUUUUUCGUUCUGUGAGUUUGUAAGCUGUUUUUGGGUAGUUAUAGGUAUAAAAUGCAUGUUUUGUAUGUUUGGGGGCUGAAACACUUGAAUUAAGAUCAAAUGCUUGCUGAAAAUGAUCAUUUCAGGUUGCUGAACCACCUUUGCACACAUAUUUUUCCAGAAUUUUUUGCAUGGCUUCAGUCUGGUUUUUGUUCGUCUGGAUUGGGGUGGUUGUAUAGUUACUUGCGUAGUUUAAAGCUGUGAUGUUGGGGUUGAAGGGUAUCUAAUCAAAGUCGUGUGUUUGAAUUGGAAAUUUGAGUUAGGAAACAAAAAAAAAUGCAGCAGGCUUCACUUUUGGCUGCUGAAUUUUUUCGAGUGUUUGAAUUACUUAGUUUGCUGGUUAUUUGGAAUAUUUUGAGAGGUGUUUAACGUGGUUUUGAGUGAAGUUGAUUUGAAGUUUUAAAUGAACUUGGUUUUGCCGAAAGUUUACAUGCAAGGAUAGAAAGUCAUGGCUGAAAAUUGCAGAAGCCAAAUCCGCAAGUCUGUUGAAAGGUUCAAGCAGUUUGCAUGUUUUUCCAUGCUCAUGGUUCAUUGUACCAUGGCAUUUAUGUGUGUUUUGAAGUAAUGAUUUUGUUAGGUGAAAGGUUUGGUUAAAGAUGAGGUGCUAAAGUCCAAAGUUUGUGUUUGAAAAUGCAGCAAAUUAGUACAGAAGCCUAAGCUGCCACAAUUUUUCUGUGAUGUUUUCUUCUCUGUGUUUGAUUUGUUGAGUUUUCCUACUUAACCUGCAUGCCUAAUCUUAUGUUUGAAUGGAAGAAAAGAAGGUUUGGUGUUGAGUUUGCAUUCUUUGAAUCACAGGAAAUGUAAACUAGCUUGAAUGUUGGCCAAGUAAAAUAGAUUUCCCUAAAAAUUCUGAAUGGUGGGUGAGUUGUCUUGAACCAAUCUGAAUCAUGAGUUGGUUUCUCAUUCCAGAUUUCUCUUUGUUUUUUUUUAUGCAUAAAAGGUGUUUUUAAGAAUGAGUUUGCAACCUUUAGCGAGUGCUAGGAAGCUGGAUUUUCUUCUUGGUUAAAAUCUUUUCUCUUGCCGCAUAAGGCUGCUGAAGUUCCAAAGUCUCGGCUGACUCUCUUUGGCUGCAGAAAUGUUUCCUAAGCUUUGCAUGAAGUCACCUGAACUGUUCAGAUUUUGCAUGUCUGUUGGCUGACCUUUGGUGUUAAAUUUAUAAGUUUCAUGAUGCAAAAUGAGUGGAAUGUAUGGUAGUUUUUUUUGUUUGGAUUUAAUUGAGUUUGAAAGCUGUUAAUGCCGAAUUGAGGGAAGCUUUCAUCAGAAUUCUUGUUGCAGGCAAUGUUUACGUAGCUUUGCAUGGUUUUGCAUGAAACUAUUUUUGAAAAUUUCACUUUAACCCCCCAAGUCUCCCCUUGUUCUACUAUGACCCACAAAUUUGAGAAAGCUAAUCAAUUGGGUCCCUGUGAUUUUUGUAGCAAUGCAUUAUGGCCCAAUUACAUUCCAAUGUCUUGCAAUUAGGUUCUAAGGUGUUUGCAUUUGAAUCAUUAAUUGAUCUUUAUUAUUUUUGGGACCUUUGAAGCUCUUUGAUGAUUCAUUUUGACGUUGAUUGUGAUUGAUUAGUGGUCGUUAUUGGGUCCUAGAAAUGCAAGUUUAAACCAUUCAUGGACUUUCAUUCACUCUUGGAUUCUUGAGAUAUGAUGUUUGCUUGGAUUUUAAUUUUUACUUGGGGACCUUUGAGUUUUUAAAUGCUUCAAUUAGGUUCAAAUGAUUUGAGUAGUGCUUGCAUUUGGGUUUUUAGUAGAUGUUAUGCUUGGGGAUUGGAUGAUCAUGCUUUUUGCCUUGGUCUUUAAGUAGUUUUGACUUCAUUGAGUUGCAAUUGAGGGAAAGUUUGAUGUUUGGUGGAUUCAAAUUGUUUAGUUUAUAUCUUAUCAUUAAAUUGGUGCAUUAAUCUUUUGUUUUUGGUGAUUUUAGCCUAAAUUAGUCUUUUCUUGGGUGACUCUAGCCAAGUUGAGUUUGUUUACUUCCUUAGUAUCACCAACGGGGCGGUAUAAUCUCUUUUACCCCUUUUGUUUCUCUCCUAUGUGGACUAAUGUGCUAAUUGAAAUUUGCAUGUCUACUUGCUUUCCUAGCCUCUCCUUAUUUCCUUUCAGUUAUUUCAUUUACUUUUGAUUUUUAUUAAUGGGGUAUGUGUACACCUCUUGGCUUGUAAUAGAUAGGGCGUAGCAAGUAAUUUGGUCCAUUUUUCCUUUCCCUUUUGUUUUAGUUAGCAAAUGUAAUGGUUGCAUGCCUAUGUGUUAUAUGUUAAAUGCUUUAUUAGGAUUUUGCAUCUAGUCAAGCAUGCUAAGUGUUAUGUGCUACGUGUUUAUAAGUGAUUCGCAUGUCUACUCGCUUUUUAUAGUGUGGAUGAAUGGAAUGGAUGAAUGUACGUCACCACACUAGUCCAACGCUAGUUGUGGCUUCUUUUAUCGUUUCCACUAGUCCAACGCUAGUCGGAAUUCAUAGGAGGGGCUAGUCCAAUGCUAGACCCAAUAGGUUUUUUUUUCCUUUUUCAUGAAGUGCAUGAUCACCACAUAUCACGCAUUUUUCCUUAGUUUAUCAUUUGGUAUGUUCCUCAAACCCCUUCCCCUUCACUUUAGGACUUGCAUCUCAUGCUAGUUAGGGUUCAUUUGCGUGAAAAUCCCCUCUUGAUAAGGGAAACGAGCGAGUGUGGCUACUCGAUAGCCUUAGCACGCUAGUUUCGCCUUCUAAUCAAAGGGAAAAUCGAAGUCGAAAAGUUAGGAGUCAACCCCCGUACCCGACUUGUUGCAUUCCUCUAGGGUCAUACUUUCAUUUUUAUCACCUACAUACUCUUUUAACCACAUUUUUUCACAUUUCUCAAAACCAUCCUUUCUCACUACAUUUUUCCUAUCACGUGCUCAUUUUCACCUCACAAAUGGAAUUCCACUUUACCUUAUAUAUCUAUUAUUCUAUUUUCACACACUUGCACACAAGAAACACUCAAAUUUUAUACAAUUUCACACAUGCACCUUUUUAUACAUUCGAACACUUGCACUUACAUUUCUUGCAUCUUUCAUACACUUUCACACUUGCACACUUGAAUUUGAACUCUCACUUGGAUUAAUCGACCUCUAUGAGGUUUUCCUUUGUUGGCCGCCACAAUUCAUGUGGUUUUGGACCAAAAGCCUCACAAGAGACAUCGUAGAAUUUAGGAUUGCAUUUUCCUUUCCGUUUUGCAUUCAUAUAGUCAUAUCCAACGUGCGAUACAUACAUUGGGUAGAAGAUUAGGAAAGGUAAGGUUAAGUCGCGCAACUAGCCUUGGCUAGGUCAAAGGGGUGCCUUGGAUUCUAUCCUUGCCUUCCCCUUUGUCAAACGUGACUCCCGAACCUUUUUCUUUGGCUUACGUGGACUAGGAGUCGUUUUAAAAGGGUUUUACUACUUUGUCUUUAAAAAUUUAUUUUUCAGGUGACUUGGUACACCUUAAUCAUUACCAAGUGGCGACUCCAAUUUCUCAUUCAAAAACCCUUUUUAAAACACUAUUUUGGGUCAAAUCGUCGCUUUUUCAAGUCCCAUAUUAGACCCCAUAUCUUUUUCAACUCACAAAAAUCAUUUUCCAAUCACAAUUGAAUCAAACACAUCUUUCUCAAACCAUUUUUAUUUAUUUAUUUUUCUUAUCAAAAAAUGGGGCGCGACAGUAAGGGUGACCUCCACUCUACUGGAACGUAUAAAAGAGGCGCAAGGCAAGGAUUUGAUGGUACAGAAGUGGAGAGAGAAAGUGGAAAAGGGAGAAACAACGGACUUCAAUCUGAGUCCUGAGGGUAUGUUGCAAUAUCGAGAUCGAAUAGUGGUACCAAAGGAGGAAUCGUUGAAAGCAGAAAUUUUGGAGGAAGCUCAUAGGUCCAAGUAUACAAUCCAUCCGGGCAGCAGCAAGAUGUAUCAAGACCUAAAAGGAACCUAUUGGUGGGACAACAUGAAGAGGGAAAUCGUUCAAUACGUGCAGAAAUGUCUCAUUUGCAGCAAGUGAAGGCAGAGCAUCAAAAACCAUCGGUUGUUACAACCCUUGGAGAUACCCGAGUGGAAGUGGGAAAACAUCACCAUGGACUUCGUUUCAAGUUUACCGAGGACGCAAAGAGGAAACGAUGCCGUUUGGGUGAUCGUUGAUCGAUUAACCAAGUCGGCCCAUUUCUUGCCGGUAAACAUGAAGUAUUCAAUGGACAAAUUGACCCGAUUGUACAUGGAUGAAAUUGUAAGGCUACACGGAGUGCCUGUGAGCAUCGUCUCUGAUCGGAGAUCCACGAUUUGUAUCACGGUUUUGGCAGAAGUUUCAAGAAACCCUGGGACGAAAACUCAAUUUGAGCACUACCUAUCACCCUCAGACGGAUGGCCAGUCGGAACGGACGAUUCAGACUCUUGAGGAUAUGCUACGAACCUGUAUUCUGGACUUUAGAGGCAAUUGGGGUCAGCACAUGACCUUGGUAGAAUUUGCGUACAACAAUAGCUUCCAUUCGUCAAUUCAAAUGGCUCCGUAUGAAGCUCUCUACGGACGCAAGUGCCGCUCACCGAUUUAUUGGGAUGAAGUAGGUGAAAAGAAAGCACUGAAUCCGCAACCAUUCCAUGGAUGGAAGAGGCUCAGGAAAAGGUCAAGUUGAUACGACAACGACUUCAAACCGCCCAAAGUCGUCAAAAGAGCUACGCGGAUAACCGAAGAAAAGAUUUGGAAUUUGAAGUUGGAGAUUAUGUAUUUCUCAAAAUCACACACCUUACGAAGUCUUACAACGGGCAAAGAAAGAAACUUCAACCGCGGUACGUCGGACCCUAUAAGAUCCUUCAAAGGGUUGGAGUGGUCGCGUAUCGAUUGGAACUACCAUCCAGUCUAUCUCGAAUCCACGACGUAUUUCACGUCUCGAUGCUAAAGAAGUACCAUCCUGACCCAUCUCAUGUUUUACAACCGGAGGAUAUCGAAGUAGAUGAAUCACUGGCCUAUGAAGAGAAACCGGUUCAAGUACUCGAUCGAAAAAUCAAAGAGCUCCGAAACAAACGGAUUCCACUAGUGAAGGUGCUAUGGAGAAACCACGGAGUUGAGGAAGCCACCUGGGAGAUGGAAGAGGAAAUGCGAAAGAAAUACCCAAACCUUUUCGGGAAUUAAGGUGAGAAAUUUCGAGGACGAAAUUCUUUUAAGGGGGGGAGAGUGUGAGAACCCGUAAAACCCUAAUUAUUUUUCUAGGGUUUAUUUCCCUUAAUUGCAUGUUUUCUGCAUUUUCUGGCUUAGAGAUAUUUUCUUAGUGGAUUUUAUGAGCAAUUAUAGUUUUAAGAUGAUUUUUCUAGCAUUGGGGAAAUUUUAGGAAAUUAAGAGUAAAUAGUGGACGUGGGACCCACUAGUGCGAAAAGUUCGGAAAAAUUCGGCCGAUAAGGUUAAGUUUCGGAUACUGUUUAAAAUUUAUCGGGUGUUAAGAGAUAAGUAGUGUGUGUGAAGUGAUUGAUGUGAGAGAGAAAAGAAAGAUAAGAAUGCAUUUAUGAAGGUGACAAGUGUCACCUUCUUAUUGGAUGCCUUUUAAGAAUUACUAUUCACAAUUUUGACUUUUUUGACCAAAGGUUAAAUAUCCAAAAAUUGCACAAAAUUCACCAUUUUUUCCUCCUUAUGGCCGGCCCUCUCUAAGCAAGAAGAAAGACAAAACUCUUCAACAUUCUAGCAAACUUCUAGCUCAAAUCAACUAAAUCACUUGCUUAACUUGGUUUUCACUCCAUUAAAUUUUUCCUUCUAGUGCUAGUAAGUUGUUUGGUGAACUUUGUUUGAAGGACUAAGGUGCACAACAUCUUUCUCUCUUUUGGUUUGUGGUAAGUGAAGCUUGAAACAUCCUACUACACCUAAUGAUGCUUAUUGUAGACACCAAAUUUUAAAUAAUUUUGUAUGUUGCAUCUAAUUCAUGAUUUUUGUUGCAGAUUGUCUGCAUUCUAGUUCGUUAUUGUUUGUUUCUCAUUUUUAGUGGUUAUUUUAUUUUAGUUCAUUUUUGGCCCUUUUAGUUGAUCUAUUUCAUUUGUCAUUUAUUCUUGUUUGUCUUUUUAGUUUUAUUUACUUUUAGUUUUAGUUUUAGUUUUAGUUUUUAAAUUUUAAGAUUAGCAUAGAGUUGCUAGAGAAAAAAGGAAAACAUUCAAAAAAUAUAUGUUUUAGUCAUUUUUGUUUUUAUUUAAUGCUUUCUUGAUAAAAAAAAAGAUUAUGAAAAUCAUGAAAAAAAAAGAAAAAAACAGGCAAAAACAUUCAAAAAAUAGGUUUUUUUUUUUGGGAAAAACAAUGGAAAAGAAAGAAAAAGAAAGAAAAAGAAAUUUGCUCACAAAGUAUGUUUAUUUCUUUUAAAUUCAACUUUUUGGCAUUUUAUUUUAUUAAGUUAUUUGAAAAAAGUGAAAAAAUGAGAAAAAUGAAAAAAAUGGAAAGUUGCGUUUUUGUUGUUUCUAGUUUAUUUUUCUAAUGUUAAUUAAGUUGUUUUUGUUAUUAAUUAUUAUUGUUAUCAUUUUUUGUUGUUUAAUUAAUUAAUUUUUUUCAAAAAAAAAUAAAUAAAUAAAUUUACCGCAGCAUGCACGCUGCAAUUUUUUGCAGCGUGCAAGGCACAACCUCAAUAGACAUCGGAUGGCUGGAUGGAAAGGGAAGGACAAGCCUUCAUCCUCACCAUUGGGGUGAGGGUUUAGGAACCUUGGAGUUCCAUAUAAAAGGGAAGAGAAGGCUCAGCCGUGAAGGGAGAGGAAGAAAAUUUGGAGCUGACGGCUAAGAGAAAACUAGAGAGAACUGGAGUUGGAGGUGGAGUGAAAGAAAGGCUGAGAGAGUGAAAAAGGAGAGAUCGAGAGAGGAGCAUACGGAGGAGAGAGAAAGAGUGAACGGCAAAAGUAAAAAGAGAGGUUUUUCAUCAAGAAAAAGGGGUACGGCUGUAGAAAAUUUCAAGGAAGCUGCGGAGCUUGAAAGGUGACGGUUGAGAAUAGAACAGAGAGAGAGGAGAGAGAUUUCUGGGUUGACAUCUGAACCAAUAGAAAGGGACGACGGCUACAAAAGAAAAGAUUGAAAUCUGGAAGCAAGGAGGGGAAACGCAGCGAGAGAAGAUUGAAAAGAGAGGGUUUUCAAAAUUCGGCUGAGGAAGAAAGCUUUGGAUAGGAGAAGAUCCAGCUGUCGCAGUAGCAAAAACAGGUAACCCUUGAUCCAUUUCUGGUCAUAUUGCUUUCUAUAUGAAGAUCAUGAGGAUAGCUAAAAAAUUUGAAGAAAGCUUUUGACUUUGUGUGAUUUAUAUCUGAGUUUGGGGUGGGGGGUUGAUAUUUUACAUAUGGGUGUUUUGGCCGAGAGAAGAUGGUUAAAGUUUCCAACUUUGGUUGGUGGUUUAGGUUGAAUUUUGAGUUGCAAGUCUAGAUUUUUCUUGUAAGUUAGUGUCAUAGAUUCUUAUUUUGAGUAUUGCUGCUGUCCAUGUGAGGAACAAGAACCAAACCAGAAAAAUGGCGUGCUUCUUCGGCAAGUUGAAUUUCUGACUUUUAAUUCAUUGAUUUCCCUUUUCGUUCUGUGAGUUUGUAUGCUGUUUUUGGGUAGUUAUAGGUAUAAAAUGCAUGUUUUGUAUGUUUGGGGGCUGAAAUACCUGAAUUGAGAUCCAAUGCUUGCUGGGUAAUGAAUGAAAUCUGCUUGUUGGUUUUGCUAGAUUCCUGUGUUGCACGCAUGCUUUCCAGAAUCCUUCUGUGAUAUUUUUCUGAGUUGCCUGCUUGUUUGGAUCAUGGUGGUGGUGUAGUUAGUGGCUUGGUUUAGGAUUGUGAUGUUGAGUUUAAAAACAUCUAAUCAAAGUUGAGAUAAAAAUCUGAAUCUGUAGGAAAAUUGGCAGCAGCUUUCAAAAGUCAAAUGUUUGCAUGUUUUUCCAAAUUUUUUUUUUAUAUAAUAUUUUGCUAAAUUUUUUUAGCCUGUUUAGAUGCUCAACUUCUUGAUUUGGUUGCUUAGUUUAAAGUUUUGAUGUUUGGUGGAUCAAGUUUUGAUCAAAGUUGUAUUAGAUUCUGAAGUUCAUGUUCGAAGAUGAAAUGCAGCAGGCUUGCACCUUUGACUGCCGAAGUUCUUUUGGUGUUGUUUGAAAUGUUUGCUUUGUCCGUUGUGAAAGUGUUGGGAAGCUUAGCAAUAGGAGCCAGCAGGUUGCUUGGCCUGUGGUUGUCAAAAUAAAAAAUCUUGUUGCGGUUUCCUUUCCUUCUUUUGUUACUGAUCAAAACAGAUUUGCUGUCUUAAUCUUGCAAACAAGUUUUAUGUUUUGAUUUGGGUCAAUAAUUUAUGGGUUGAUGAUCUUGUUUGUUUGAUGAAAUGGAGGUAGUUGCACCUGGAAAUUACUGAAGUUUUUGAAAACAAAAGGGCCGCAAGCUUCAUUCUCUAUGUUUAGUUGCUGAAGUUCUCAAACUUUGGCUGGCUGCUGAAAAUCUGUUUUGAAGCCAUGCGUUCCUUGAUGCAAAAUGAAAGGAUUGUGUGUUUGUUUGCUGGGAUCUAAUGUUAUUUGAAAGCUGAUUUUGGUGAAGUGAUGGUUGCAGAAGCUCUUUGUCUACGUAGCUUGCAUGAAGAUUGCAUGAAUAUUUUCCAGAAAAAUUACAGUCCAACCCCCCAAGUUUUCCUUUGCUUCACUAUGACCAACAAAUAGAAUAAUUUCUUCAAUUGGAUCCUGUGAUUUUUGCAGCAAUGCAUUAUGGCCCAAUUACAUUCCAUGUUCUUGCAAUUAGGUCCUAAGGUGUUUGCAUUUGAAUCAUUAAUUGAUCUUUAUUAUUUUGGGGACCUUUGAAGCUCUUUGAUGAUUCAUUUUGACGUUGAUUGUGAUUGAUUAGUGGUCAUUAUUGGGUCCUAGAAAUGCAAGUUUAAACCAUUCAUGGACCUUCAUUCUAUUGGAUUCUUGAGAUAUAAUGUUUGCUUGGACUUUAUUUUUUUACUUGGGGACCUUUGAGUUUUUUAAAUGCUUCAAUUAGGUUCAAUGAUUUGAGUAGUGCUUGCAUUUGGGUCUUAGUAGAUGUUAUGUUGGAGGUUGGAUGAUCAUGCCUUUGCUUUCUUUAAUUAGCUUUUCUUCAUUAAGUUGCAAUUGGGGGAAAAUUUGAUGAUUUGGUGGAUUCCAAUUGUUUUUGUUUAUAUCUUAUAACUAAAUUGGUGCGUUAAUCCUUUGCUUUGAAUGGUUUUAGCACAUGUUAUCCGUUAGUUGGUGACUAGCCCAGUUUAAGUCUCGUCCAUUUAACACUACAAAAGGGAGCGGUAUAAUUCCUUUUAUCUUUUUUUGUUUCUCUUAUGUGACUCAACGUGCUAAGUGAAUUGCAUGUCUACUUUGCUUUCUUAGCUUUUCUUUAAUUCCUUUUACUUAUGUCAUUUACUUUUUGUUUUCAUUAAGUUAUUCUUUAAUGGGGUAUGUGUACACCUCUUGGCUUGUAAUAGAUAGGGCUGUGGCGAGCAAUUUGGUCCAUUUUCCCCUUCCUUUUUGUUUUAGUUAGUGAAUGUAAUAGGUUCAUUAGUUUGGUUGCAUGCCUACGUGUUAAGUGUUUAAUCGCUUUAUUAGGUCCUUGCAUCUAGUCAAGCAUGCUAAGUGUUAUGUGCUACGUGUUUAUAAGUGAUUCGCAUGUCUACUCGCUUUUUUAUAGUGUGGAUGAAUGGAAUGGAUGAAUGUACGUCACCACACUAGUCCAACGCUAGUUGUGGCUUCUUUUAUCGUUUCCACUAGUCCAACGCUAGUCGGAAUUCAUAGAAUGGGCUAGUCCAACGCUAGACCCUUAGGGUUUUUCCCUUGUUAGUACAUCAUUUGCUUGUUCACCACAUAUCACGCAUUUUCCUUAGUUUUAUCAUUUGACAUGAGCUCGAACCCUUUUCCCCUCACUUUAGGUUUUGCAUCUCAUGCUAGCUAUAGGGUUCAUUUUGCUUGAGUGUCCCCUUCCGAUAAGGAAAACGAGCGAGUGUGGCUACUCGAUAGCCUUAGCACGCUAGUUUUGCCUUCUAAUCAAAGGGAAAAUAGAAGUCGAAAAGUUAGGAGUCAACCCCGUACCCGACUUGUUGCAUUCCCCUAGGGUCAUACUUUCAUUUUUAUCACUACAUACUCUUUUAACCACAUUUUUCACAUUUCUCAAAUCAUACUUUCUCACUACAUUUUUCCUAUCACGUGAUCAUUUUCACCUCACAAAUGGAAUUCCACUUUACCUUAUAUAUCUAUUAUUCUAUUUUCACACACUUGCACACAAAAAACACUUGAAUUUUAUACAAUUUCACACAUGCACCUUUUAUACAUUCGCACACUUGCACUUACAUUUCUUGCAUCUUUCAUAUACUUUCACACUUGCACACUUGAAUUUGAACUCUCAUUGCAUUAAUCGACCUCUAUGAGGUUUUCCUUUGUUGGCCGCCACAAUUCAUGUGGUUUGGGACCAAAAGCCUCACAAGAGACAUCGUAGAAUUUAGGAUUGCAUUUUCCUUUCCGUUUUGCAUUCAUAUAGUCAUAUCCAACGUGCGAUACAUACAUUGGGUAGAAGAUUAGGAAAGGUAAGGUUAAGUCGCGCAACUAGCCUUGGCUAGGUCAAAGGGGUGCCUUGGAUUCUAUCCUUGCCUUCCCCUUUGUCAAACGUGACUCCCGAACCUUUUUCUUUGGCUUACGUGGACUAGGAGUCGUUUUUAAAAGGGUUUUACUACUUUGUCUUUAAAAAUAUUUUUUAGGUGACUUGGUACAUUAAUCAUUACCAAGUGGCGACUCCAAUUUCUCAUUCAAAAACCCUUUUUAAAAACUAUUUUUUGGGUCAAAUCGUCGCUUUUUCAAGUCCCAUAUUAGACCCAUAUCUUUUUCAACUCACAAAAAUCAUUUUCCAAUCAAAAUUGAAUCAAAAAACAUCUUUCUCAAACCAUUUAUUUUUAUUUAUCAAAAAAUGGGGCGCGACAGUUGGCGACUCCACUGGGGACUUCCUAAGUGGGUCCAAGCAUUUUUGACUUAACCAUUUGUUUCCUUUUUCUACCCUUUCUAUGCAUGGCAUGUGGAUAUUAGGAUGGCAUUUUUCAUUUUUAGGACCUUUUGUCUUAUAUACGUAAUCAAACCAAUCCCUCGACUCACGAAUGUAUGUUUGAAUGAAUGUUUAUUGUUAUCUCGCGCUGCAUUGCAUUUUGGGAGGUAUGGGUCACCCUAGAGCCUCGCGUUGGUUCUUGACCCUUCCCCUCCAAACGAGCACCUAGCAUACGAGCAUACGCUUUACUUUUUAUCCCUUUUAUUUUUCUUUAGUGGCUUGUCACGCCACUCUACCCUACUAGGAUUAGGAGACCCACUUGAACAUGUGAUCACGACACAGUGUGCGUAGCAUGAUCCAAUGGGUCACUCAAUCUUCCGCUUUAAGCUAUGGUUGAUAGCCUUUAGCUUUUAGUCGAAGGUUGGGGAUUUUGAUAGAUUCACUCAAACACGUAGCCGUGACACGAUGUGUGCGUAGCGGUGUUUGGGGAAUCGCUCGAGCCACCGACAAAGAACCUUGGGAUUGAUGACCCUUGGUUUCUAAGUCUGAAGGCUCGGGGGCCUAUAACCUAUCGAGUCUAGAUGCAUUAGUAAACCAAGCCUCAUGCAUCCAUAUUAGAAUUGCCUAGGGUAGAGUCGGUCUUAUCCUAAAACUAGGGACACUAUUCACGAGGGAGGGGUCCCAACCCUCUUUCCUUAUUUAUCUUUAUUGCCUUUUAUAUUAUCUAAUUGUCCAAAUGUGUUAUGUGAUUAUGUGUUGAGCUCACGUUUCCUUGUCUUUUGUCUUUUGCAUUCACAAACAUUAAGAGAUAAAAGGUCUGGCAUGACCUUCUUUUAGGACCUACCCUUGUAGAUAGGCUAUUGCACGUUUGACAAAUUAUGAUUUAUUUUGUUCAUAAAUUCAUAAUGCCAUACCAUUUUAGGCCUACCCUGGCAAAAUAAAGGGUUCCUUAGGUCACGUUUCAUUUCAAAUUGCAUAUUUUAUUUUUAAUAAAAUGGCAUCAUGCAUAAACCCUAGAAAGGGAACGCCACGUAGGGAAUCCCGUUUUAGGAAUAAAACCAACCUUUUUGUGUCCCAUGGGUAUUUAACCCUUCAAGAGACUGCACGUUUAAGUUAUCGCAUAACUGGAGGAAUGAGACUCGUAGGUAAGGUAAUUGACAAACUACCUUCUUCAUUAUCAGAUGGCCCCCGCCGCAUCUACCAAUUGUUAAUACCGUCAACUGAGGUUCAACAAUGGCCCACCUUCAUGUUACCUAGUGAACUGAAUCAAGUAGCCCAAUUUUUAGGAUCAAUUGGAGACUUUAAGCAGAUCAAAUCCAACAAUUAUUUGGUAGAGGCUUUAGUUCAUCUUUGGGACCCCGAGUGUACUGCUUUUAGAAUAGGCAAUAGGCAAAUGACUAUAACACUCGAAGAAGUAGCUGGCCUCCUUGGUUUACCCACACGUGGAACUGCCUUGGUGUUUCCAUUUGCUUCCGACAAGGCCGAAUUUUGUCAAAUUAUAGGAUUGAAAGAGUUCGUGCUACGAGGGUCAGAUCAGGGCGUCGCCGUGAAUAUUCUGUUUGAACGAUUUGCGCCACGCGAUGGAUUCGAGAGGCAUGUGACGGAUUUUGUGUUCACUUCCAAAGCCGUAUGGAGCGCAAGAGGCUACUAGUAUAUGGGGUAGUUAUGGCUGGGACCUAUCUCUUUCCGCGAAAAGAUCAAAAGAUAGCUUUAAAUCAGCAAAAAUUGUGAAUGACCUUUUCUUAGGAAUUCAGGGUAAGCAAUGUUCUAUAGUCCCGACCAUUCUCGCAGAUAUUUUCUUAGCUUGUACUGGUUGUCGAAAGGGAGAAAAGUUUUUCCAUGGGGCGAACUUGGUUUUAUACAUAUGAGCUACGGGACAUUUUAAGAGACAAGCAUCAGUUGCCGAUAGUUUGCCGGUGGUUGGAUAUAAUUGGGUAGUCACACAUCCCAAAAGAGUCAACGAGGGAGAUCUACCAAAGAACGCAUCCAAAUGUGUGGACUACUUGGAAACAUUGCAAGAUUUCAACAUUAGGUGGGUAUUAGAUUGGACAGACUGCUUUGAGCCGAUACUUCGCACUAAGGAAUCCGAACGUGUUCUCUUGCUGGGUACUCAAGGAAUCAUCUCAUAUACCCCGAAGAGAUUUCUCAGACAACUAGGUCGCAUUCAGGGCCGCCACCGAUUUCCGAGUUUAGUGAAGUCACCAUUUUCUUUGAUCAGGGGGUAUGCCCAAAAGAGUCCCUAUGAAGAGCCAAAUCACUGAAUCUUGGAGAACAAUAUCCGACGAUAGAAGCAUUCGUUAUCUUCCGGAGCUCAAACAGAAGGGGUAAUGACCGCACCAUACGAGGAUUGGUUGAAAGAUUCCACCACACAAGGGCUGCAACAUGAGCCGUAUGAGGAAAUUGAGAAGCUGAGAGCCAUCAUUAAAGCCAAGGACAUGGAGGUGGUACAGUUGAAGAAAUCCAUCGAAGCGCACAAAGGAAAGGCAGAAGAAAACAAGAGGUUAUAUGAGAAGGAGCGAGAAAGGCGCCAAGAGAUGAAGCGGAAAUGUGGGGAAUUAUAUGAUCAAGCCGAACGUGUCAAGAUACCAUAUGCUAGAGAAAGUAAAGACUCUGUACUAGAUAGGCUUAGGAACUUUGGUGAUCUUGUACGAAAUCGCCUUCGCGAUAUGAUGUAAACAGAUGUAUCUGGUUUCUGCAAUGAAAUGAAUCUCUUCCCUUUUCACAAAGUAUUUGUCAAAUAACAGGUUUGAUUAACGGGUCUCAUUCCGAAAGUGUUGCAUCAUGCUAGGCCUACCCUUGGCACAAAAAGGGCCCCCCAUAGGACAUGCAUCCGAAUUGUUCGAAUAGUUACUAACUCAUGUCUUUUCUUUUUCUUUUUCUUUUUUUUGAAUAAAUUGCAGAAAUUCAGUAAUCAUUGGUUUAUCUAAAGAAGUCUUUUGCAUUCUCAGGUAAAUUUCAAAAUAGCUUUUCGGAAAAGCCCCAUUAUUACGCGAUCUCGAAGUAAAGCCCAAGAGAAUCGUGUAAACAUGAGUACUAAGCCUCAAUCAUCUGAUAAGACCAUCGCAACUACUCAGCCGGAAGCCACAAGUCCUGGAAUUCAGUUGGCCGAACUACUUACCAAGUUUGAGGAAAUGGCAUCUACAA